Molecule: ribosomal RNA, 520 nt
Filed under: uncultured Glomus
Lineage: Eukaryota; Fungi; Glomeromycota; Glomeromycetes; Glomerales; Glomeraceae
Description: SSU rRNA
Rfam family: Eukaryotic small subunit ribosomal RNA
Source: RNAcentral
AGCAGCCGCGGUAAUUCCAGCUCCAAUAGCGUAUAUUAAAGUUGUUGCAGUUAAAAAGCUCGUAGUUGAAUUUCGGGAUUAGUGCGCCGGUCGUGCCUUCGGUAUGUACUGGUGUUACUGGUUCCUACCUUCUGACGAACCGUCAUGUCAUUAAUUUGGUGUGGCGGGAAAUCAGGACUGUUACUUUGAAAAAAUUAGAGUGUUUAAAGCAGGCUCGCGCUUGAAUACAUUAGCAUGGAAUAAUGAAAUAGGACGUUCGAUCCUAUUUUGUUGGUUUCUAGGAUUGACGUAAUGAUUAAUAGGGGUAGUUGGGGGCAUUAGUAUUCAAUUGUCAGAGGUGAAAUUCUUGGAUUUAUUGAAGACUAACUACUGCGAAAGCAUUUGCCAAGGAUGUUUUCAUUAAUCAAGAACGAAAGUUAGGGGAUCGAAGACGAUCAGAUACCGUCGUAGUCUUAACCAUAAACUAUGCCGACUAGGGAUCGGAUGAUGUUAAUUUUUAAUGACUCAUUCGGCGCCUUAC